CCCGGGCCGGGUCGCACAGCUCCUGCGACACACUUUCAAACCGGCCCCGCCGUCCGUUACGUCUCGAGACCUCUCGUAAUGAAAGUACUCGGUUCAGAACAGGAAUAAUAAUGUGAAGCAAAUGAAAACGAAGGCGUCUAGGCAAGGCGUGCACCGUCCGGCCUGGCGCUUUCCAAUUUCAGUCCCCACCAUAGCGGAAACUACAGGGUUCCUUUUGGACAGCUGCAAGCGUUGGGAAGCUCAGAGCAGGCGAGUCCCUGCAGCUGUGGAGGGUGCAGAGUGGGCAGGAUUUUCCGGAGAAAAAAAGGGCGAGGCGGCUCCUCAGUCGGCAGGAGUGGGUUCUGCACCGGGUGGGGAGGUGAGGCCCAGUCCAGCCCCGACCCCUGAGGAGAGGCCGGGCCCUCCCGCUUGGGCUGGGGGGACGCACCCGCCCCGCCCCUCAGACCGGGCCUUGAGGACACCCGGCCGAGCUUCGAGCUUCGCAGCCUCCUCGCUCAGCGGCCGGCGCAACGCCCUGCCCGCCCUGCCCGACAUCCGGGGCG
Molecule: long non-coding RNA, 542 nt
Filed under: Heterocephalus glaber (naked mole-rat)
Lineage: Eukaryota; Metazoa; Chordata; Mammalia; Rodentia; Bathyergidae
Description: lncRNA (ENSHGLG00000034466.1)
Source: RNAcentral